RNAcentral lists this ribosomal RNA (253 nucleotides) under uncultured bacterium. RNAcentral's name for it is "partial 16S ribosomal RNA". It matches the Rfam family "Bacterial small subunit ribosomal RNA", at positions 524 to 776 of the family's 1533-position model. The record is from RNAcentral.
UACGGAGGGUGCAAGCGUUAAUCGGAAUUACUGGGCGUAAAGCGCACGUAGGCGGUGAGUUAAGCCAGCUGUGAAAUCCCCGGGCUCAACCUGGGAAUUGCAGUUGGAACUGGCUCGCUAGAGUAUGGUAGAGGGGUGUGGAAUUUCAGGUGUAGCGGUGAAAUGCGUAGAUAUCUGAAGGAACAUCAGUGGCGAAGGCGACACCCUGGACCAAUACUGACGCUGAGGUGCGAAAGCGUGGGGAGCAAACAGG